UUAAGAUACUAAGAGCAUACGGUGGAUGCCUUGGCGAUAUCUGCCGACGAAGGACGUGACAAGCUGCGAAAAGCUGCGGAGAGAUGCAAAUAAUCGGCGACCCGCAGACAUCCGAAUGGAGAAAUCCGGCUGUGAUGAUGCACAGCCAUCCAUGCCCAAGAGCAUGAGAAGGGAACCGGGCGAACUGAAACAUCUAAGUAGCCCGAGGAAAAGAAAUCAAACGAGAUACCCCAAGUAGCGGCGAGCGAACAGGGAAGAAGCCCAAACCGGUGAAGGAAACUUUACCGGGGUUGAGGACCAUCAGACCCGCGAAGAACCUUAGCCGAAACUGUUGGGAAACAGUGCCGAAGACAGUGAAAGCCUGGUAGGCGAAAAAGAGAAACGCGGAGAUGGCACCAGAGUACCGCGGGACACGAGAAAUCCCGUGGGAAGCAGGGGGGACCACCCUCCAAGGCAAAACACAGAUAUCGACCGAUAGCGCAUAGUACCAUGAGGGAAAGGUGAAAAGCACCCCGGGAGGGGAAUGAAAGAGAACCUGAAACCGUAUGUUUACAAGCAGUCGGAGACCGCUUAAUAAUAAGGUCGACGGCGUGCCUAUUGAAGAAUGAACCGGCGAGUUACGAAGCCUGGCAAGGUUAAGCAGGAAAUGCGGAGCCGAAGCGAAAGCGAGUCUUAAGAGGGCGCAAGUCAGGAAGCGUAGACCCGAAACCACAGUGAUCUACCCAUGUCCAGGUUGAAACACAGGUAAAAAUGUGUGGAGGACCGAACCUAUAUCCGUUGAAAAGGGUUAGGAUGAGGUGUGGGUAGGGGUGAAAUUCCAAUCGAACGUGGAGAUAGCUGGUUCUCCCCGAAAUAGCUUUAGGGCUAGCCUCAGGGAAAAGAUUGCAGGCGGUAGAGCACUGAUCAGGAGAGGGACCUACCCGGUUACCAAACCCAGUCAAACUCCGAAUGGCUGCAAUCAUACCUGGGAGUCAGACUGCGACUAAUAAGGGCCGCAGUCAAAAGGGAAACAGCCCAGACCAUCAGCUAAGGUCCCCAAUGCCGUGCUAAGUGGCGAAGGAUGUGGCAUUUCAUAAACAACCAGGAUGUUGGCUCAGAAGCAGCCACCAUUUAAAGAGUGCGUAAUAGCUCACUGGUCGAGAGACGCUGCGCCGAAAAUGUCCGGGGCUCAAGCACGGAACCGAAGCUAUGGCAUGAUAGCAAUAUCAUGGGUAGGGGAGCGUUCUUAUAAGGAAGAAGCAUGACCGGAAGGACAUGUGGACGAAUAAGAAGUGAGAAUGCCGGUAUGAGUAUCGAAAAGAAAGGUGAGAAUCCUUUCCACCGAAAGCCCGAGGGUUCCUGAGCAACGAUCGUCGACUCAGGGUAAGUCGGGACCUAAGCCGAGGCGAGAAGCGUAGGCGAUGGACAACAGGUUGAAAUUCCUGUACCGGAUCAAGUCGAUCGAGCGAAGGAGCGACGCAGGAGGGCACAUGAUCGCGCGGCUGGAAGAGCGCGUCCAAGUGCGUAUGUUGCAGCAGAGGAAAACCCCUGCAGCUAAAAGCAGAGACAUGAUGGGGAGUUAAAGGAAACUUUGACGAACUCAUGGAUCCCACACUGCCAAGAAAAACUUCUAGCGAGACAAGAUCCGCCCGUACCGUAAACCGACACAGGUAGGCGGGGAGAGAAUCCUAAGGUGCGCGGGAAAACCCUCGUUAAGGAACUCGGCAAAUUGCAUCCGUAACCUAGGGAGAAGGAUGGCCCCCGGUCAGUGAAGAGCAGAAACGCUCAGAGCUAAAAGGGGCGGCAGAAAAGAGGCCCAAGCAACUGUUUACCAAAAACACAGGUGCCUGCGAAAGCGAAAGCUGAAGUAUAGGUGCUGACGCCUGCCCGGUGCCGGAAGGUUAAGGAGAGAAGUUAGCGAAAGCGAAGCAUCGAACUGAAGCCCCGGUGAACGGCGGCCGUAACUAUAACGGUCCUAAGGUAGCGAAAUUCCUUGUCGGGUAA
Molecule: ribosomal RNA, 1983 nt
Filed under: human gut metagenome
Description: bacterial LSU rRNA
Rfam family: Bacterial large subunit ribosomal RNA
Source: RNAcentral